This 398-nucleotide ribosomal RNA is filed under the name uncultured bacterium. RNAcentral's name for it is "partial 16S ribosomal RNA". It matches the Rfam family "Bacterial small subunit ribosomal RNA", at positions 523 to 918 of the family's 1533-position model. The record is from RNAcentral.
AUACGUAGGGUGCGAGCGUUGUCCGGAAUUACUGGGCGUAAAGAGCUCGUAGGUGGUUUGUCGCGUCGUCUGUGAAAUUCCGGGGCUUAACUCCGGGCGUGCAGGCGAUACGGGCAUAACUUGAGUACUGUAGGGGAGACUGGAAUUCCUGGUGUAGCGGUGAAAUGCGCAGAUAUCAGGAGGAACACCGGUGGCGAAGGCGGGUCUCUGGGCAGUAACUGACGCGGAGGAGCGAAAGCAGGGGUAGCGAACAGGAUUAGAUACCCUGGUAGUCCAUGCCGUAAACGGUGGGCGCUAGUGGUAGGGGUCUUCCACGACUUCUGUGCCGUAGCUAACGCAUUAAGCGCCCCGCCUGGGGAGUACGGCCGCAAGGCUAAAACUCAAAGGAAUUGACGGGG